CCGGGAGGGGAGAGAGAACGAGUGUGACCAUAGCAGAACCCUCCAGGCAGCUUGGAGCCUGGCCAACCUCUCCCAGCUCCUGGGCCGCCUCACCUGAAUGACAUGGUGAACCACACACCCAUCAUCAUCAGGGUGAUGCGUCGAUACUCCGGACCAAAACACGAGAGGAAAUUCCCCCAAACCUACAAGCGGCUCAAGGCUCGGACUCCCCAGCGCUGAUACCAGGUCCCUGUGUCUGACUGGAUUUCAAUCAGCUCAUCUUCCUGAUGAAUCGUCUUAAUGUGGGUGACCUAGGGCAAAGAGAAAUAGCCUGUAUUUCCCCCAACGCCCUCCACAUGAU
Ochotona princeps (American pika) is the source of this 340-nucleotide long non-coding RNA. RefSeq lists it as uncharacterized. Lineage: Eukaryota; Metazoa; Chordata; Mammalia; Lagomorpha; Ochotonidae. The record is from RefSeq and is a predicted model, not a curated record. The transcript has 3 exons.